AUGCGUGGAGGCACUGGACGAAGCCCAUCAGGAGGCAGUCCACCUCAAAGCCCAGGUGGCUCAUCAACCAGCCUGGGAAGCCCACGUGGUGCACAUGAGCUGGCUGGUUCUCCUGUACGUGUAGGAGAAGGAACACCAAUCUCAACUGGUUCAUCUGGUGGACGUACAGCCAGUCCAGGAGUGCUUCAAUCGCCAGAAAUCGGGAGUUUGGCAACUCCAGAUGAUGUAACUUCGUCUUCGACUGUACAGGAGACAAGGGAACGUCCGCCGACACCAGUACGUCUUCGACCAGUGAUGGAUUUAUAUCCAAAGGAAGUGCUUCCAAAAGUAAAUCCUGUGAAAAUUAAAGAAAGAGGACGGCGGUAUCUGCUUAGCGUCGAGGAACCGACGAAAUUUGAAGAUGCAAACACGGAGGAGUGUUGGCGUCGUGCUAUGGACGAGGAGUUGGGAUCGAUCCAAGACAACAAAACAUGGGAGCUCGUGGAUCCACCCAACGACCAUAAAAUCAUAGGGCUCAAGUGGGUGUACAAAGUCAAGAAAGAUGCCGAAGGAAACUUGGUGAAGUAUAAGGCAAGGCUCGUAGCCAAAGGAUACGUGCAAGAGCAAGGUGUAGACUUCGAGGAAGUGUUCGCUCCUGUCACAAGGAUGGAAUCGGUGAGGCUAGUUAUAGCUCUCGCGGCUCAAGAAUCUUGGAAGCUACAUCACAUGGAUGUAAAAUCCGCUUUUUUGAACGGGGAGUUGAAAGAAGAAGUAUAUGUGAAGCAACCACCGGGUUACAUCAAAAAAGGAGAGGAGCACAAGGUGUUGAAACUACACAAGGCAUUGUACGGGCUAUGCCAAGCUCCUCGGGCGUGGAACAUCAAGCUUGAUCGUACACUAGUUUCUCUUGGUUUUGAGAAAAGUCCAUUGAAGCAUGCUAUGUAUAAGCGAGGUAAAGGCAAGGAUCGUCUCCUAGUGGGCAUCUAUGUUGAUGAUCUCUUGAUAACUGGAGCAGAUGAGGAGGAGAUUGCUAGAUUCAAGCUACAAAUGAAGGAGCUUUUCAAGAUGAGUGAUCUAGGGCUCUUGACUUACUAUCUCGGGAUCGAGGUACAUCAAAAGCCGGAGGAAAUCACACUAUGCCAGGAGGCAUAUGCAAAGAAGAUUCUUGAAAGCUGUAGCAUGGAGGACUGCAAUCCAAGUCAUGUUCCAAUGGAGCCUCGACUUAAACUUAGCAAGAGGAGCCAAGCACCCGCGGUUGAUGUAACGGAGUAUAGAAGUGUGGUUGGAAGCCUAAGGUAUCUUGUGAAUACACGACCAGACUUAGCAUAUUCCGUUGGCGUAGUGAGUCGCUUUAUGGAAGCACCCACGACAGAACAUUGGGCAGCUGUGAAACAAAUACUUAGGUACAUCAAAGGGACAAGUAACUUCGGUUGCGUCUAUUUGAGAGAGAAGCGGAAGGAGAUGGUGGAGCUACUUGGCUACAGUGAUAGCGACUUGGCAGGAGAUAUUGACGACCGUAAAAGUACCUCGGGCGUGGCAUAUUUCUUGGGAAGAAGCAUAGUGAGUUGGCUAUCACAAAAGCAGAAGGUGAUCGCAUUAUCAUCCUGUGAAGCAGAGUAUAUUGCAGCUGCAACCGCGGCAGGUCAAGGUGUGUGGCUAGAAAGGCUACUCGGUGACCUCACUGACAAGGAACCGGAAGGAGUGGUGCUCUACGUUGACAACAAGUCCACGAUUGCUCUAUGUAAGAAUCCAGUGCAUCAUGAUAGAAGUAAGCACAUUGAUAUAAUGCAUCACUACAUAAAGGACUGCGUGGAAGAAGGUAAGAUGAAGGUCAACUACGUUUGCACCGAUGAUCAGAUGGCGGAUAUCCUAACCAAGAGUUUGGAUCGAGAGAAGUUCUUGGAGAAGCGAAGAAGGAUCGGCGUCGGAGCGGUCACGUGA
Molecule: ribosomal RNA, 1920 nt
Filed under: Triticum aestivum (bread wheat)
Lineage: Eukaryota; Viridiplantae; Streptophyta; Magnoliopsida; Poales; Poaceae
Description: partial small subunit ribosomal RNA
Source: RNAcentral